This is a non-coding RNA of Paramuricea clavata, 988 nucleotides long. Lineage: Eukaryota; Metazoa; Cnidaria; Anthozoa; Malacalcyonacea; Plexauridae. The record is from the annotation of a GenBank genome assembly.
CGGCGAAUAUUCCCCGAUAAUCACCUCGCCUUCGGCGAAUAAUUGUUAAAUGUCAUAUACCUGUGCAUAUACUAAUCACGCAAUAUUGAGCGUCGGCCACGCAGGCUACCCUCGUUACCACCAGCCAAUCUCAUACAAUACCAUACAAUCUCGUACCCAGAGCCAAAGAAUCUAUUGGUACGAGAUUGGUCGGCAUCAUUCUCGUACCCAGAGCCCUUCUUACGCGCGGUGCGACGAGGGGCUCUGGCCAAAUCCAUAUUCCGAACUGGCAUCUGAUUGGCUAGUUCUAACACCGGACAUUGUUUUCGUACCAUGUUUUUAUGGUAUCCGGUUAUGGAUUUGGCCAGAGCCCCGCGUCGCACCGCGCGUAAGAAGGGCUCUGGGUACGAGAAUGGGUCGGCAUAUAGCGUCAACUUCGUAUCUAGUCUCACACUCCGUUGCCACGGUCACCUGCUGACCAAUUCGUAGUUUCGACUGCGCAUAUGCAUAAAAACGUUUUCCAAUGAAUGUCCAAUCAUUAUUACACUGGCCUGUAGGCCAAGUGUCUUAAAUCCCUCUUUUUCUGUCUUUUCCUGUUUUUUUCGUAGUCGAGAAAUCGAGUUUGCGUUAGCUCAUCGCAGGCUCAGGGUGCAACCACUAAGCCAAAAUGCCAUCGAUCCUCUCGGUUCCAUGAUUUACAUAUUAUAGUAAUAAGUCCGUAUUUAUGUACGUAAUAGCCGACUCAUGCCAUGCUUGUGGUGCAUUUUUCGUUUAUUAGCCCAUACACUUGUACGCACGCGCACAAUUCCGAACUCCAAUGGCGGCUUUUCACAGAGUGAUCAAACUAUAUUUUACACAGUUUCGUUGAAUUUUCAAAGAAUUGUGCCAGUUUCCUAUGGAUUUUACGUUGUGUCGUACUCUGGACUUUCUUGCGUGUUGAAUUAAUGUGUUUUUCUUUGUGUAACGACUCGAAAAUUUAGACCCAGCGAAUUUAUACAAUAUAUAGAAG